Molecule: ribosomal RNA, 464 nt
Filed under: uncultured bacterium
Lineage: Bacteria
Description: partial 16S ribosomal RNA
Rfam family: Bacterial small subunit ribosomal RNA
Source: RNAcentral
GACGAACGCUGGCGGCGUGCUUAACACAUGCAAGUCGAACGGGAAGGCCCUUUCGGGGGUACACGAGUGGCGAACGGGUGAGUAACACGUGGGUGAUCUGCCCUUCACUUUGGGAUAAGCCUGGGAAACUCGGUCUAAUACCUGAUAGGACUACUCUAUGCAUGUCGUGUGGUGGAAAGCUUUUGCGGUGUGGUAUGGGACCGCGGCCUAUCAGCUUGUUGGUGGGGUGAUGGCCUACCAAGGCUACGACGGGUAGCCGGCCUGAGAGGGUGUCCGGCCAAACUGGGACUGGGAUACGACACAGCCUACUACGGGACGCAGCGGUGGGGAAGAUUGCACAAUGGGCGCAAGCCUGAUGCAGCGACGCCGCGUCGGGGAUGACAGCAUUCGGGUUGUAAACCACUUUCCGCACAGACGAAGCGUAAGUGACGGUAUGUGCAGAAGAAGCACCGGCUAACUACGUG